Molecule: ribosomal RNA, 1005 nt
Filed under: Lactobacillus delbrueckii subsp. bulgaricus
Lineage: Bacteria; Bacillati; Bacillota; Bacilli; Lactobacillales; Lactobacillaceae
Description: bacterial SSU rRNA
Rfam family: Bacterial small subunit ribosomal RNA
Source: RNAcentral
GGGAUGGGGGUGCUAUACUGCAAGUCGAGCGAGCUGAAUUCAAAGAGUCCCUUCGUGAGUGAUUUGUUGGACGCUAGCGGCGGAUGGGUGAGUAACACGUGGGCAAUCUGCCCUACAGACUGGGAUACCACUUGGAAACAGGUGCUAAUACCGGAUAACAACAUGAAUCGCAUGAUUCAAGUUUGAAAGGCGGCGCAAGCUGUCACUUUAGGAUGAGCCCGCGGCGCAUUAGCUAGUUGGUGGGGUAAAGGCCUACCAAGGCAAUGAUGCGUAGCCGAGUUGAGAGACUGAUCGGCCACAUUGGGACUGAGACACGGCCCAAACUCCUACGGGAGGCAGCAGUAGGGAAUCUUCCACAAUGGACGAAAGUCUGAUGGAGCAACGCCGCGUGAGUGAAGAAGGUUUUCGGAUCGUAAAGCUCUGUUGUUGGUGAAGAAGGAUAGAGGCAGUAACUGGUCUUUAUUUGACGGUAAUCAACCAGAAAGUCACGGCUAACUACGUGCCAGCAGCCGCGGUAAUACGUAGGUGGCAAGCGUUGUCCGGAUUUAUUGGGCGUAAAGCGAGCGCAGGCGGAAUGAUAAGUCUGAUGUGAAAGCCCACGGCUCAACCGUGAAACUGCAUCGGAAACUGUCAUUCUUGAGUGCAGAAGAGGAGAGUGGAACUCCAUGUGUAGCGGUGGAAUGCGUAGAUAUAUGGAACAACACCAGUGCCGAAGGCGACUCUCUGGUCUGCAACUGACGCUGAGGCUCGAAAGCAUGGGUAGCGAACAGGAUUAGAUACCCUGGUAGUCCAUGCCGUAAACGAUGAUCGCUAGGUGUUGGGGACUUUCCGGUCCUCAGUGCCGCAGCAAACGCAUUAGGCGCUCCGCCUGGGGAUUACUACCGCAAGGUUGAAACUCACGGAAUUGACGGGGGCCCGCACAACGGUGGAGCAUGAGCUUAAUUCGAAGCACGCGAAAACCUUACCAGGUCUUGACUCCUGCGACAACUAAAAGAAAGCUUUCCC